RNAcentral lists this long non-coding RNA (2540 nucleotides) under Equus caballus (horse). Its description in RNAcentral is "lncRNA (ENSECAG00000047679.1)". The record is from RNAcentral. Lineage: Eukaryota; Metazoa; Chordata; Mammalia; Perissodactyla; Equidae.
GCAAGCCAAAGGCCUGGGGCAGCCUUGACCCUGUGGAGCAGCAGCCCUGGGUGGGGGGGUCUCUGACAGCACCACCCUGGAGAGAGCUCAGGCGCUGGACAUCCUGGGUCCAGCCCAGCCCGUCACCCUCUGGCUGUGUGGGCCAGACCCAUGGCUCCACUUCCCUGAGCCUCAGUUUCCUCCUCUGAAACGGAGAAAAUAAAGCCGACCUCAUGCCCCGUGGGGUCUAAAUGAGACCCUGCAGACACCCACCCAGUUGUUUCUGCCGCUGUCCCAGCCUAGCAGGACGUUGCCCUCCUCCGUCUGCAGGAGAGCACCAGCAGGUCCCUGGGGCCCCACCGCGGCUUGCUCAGCCCCUCGACAGUCCAGCUUAGGGGUCAGCAGAUCGCCUGCACAGGCCGGAGGAGCCCCGCGAGCUCAGCUCAGCCCCCGGGCCCUGCCUCAGGCACCCCCACAUGGAUGCUCCACGAGCCAGCAGCAAGCAAGUCGCCCCCAGGGCUGGGUCUGGGGCACAGUGGGAGGGGCUGGGAGCCAGCCGCUCCGGACAGAGCGUGUCCCCACACCAUCCCUGCACUGACUUUUCUCUUUUAACCGUUUAAUUUUGAGAUAAUUUCAGACUUACAGAAGAAUGGCAAAAAUAGAGUUCCCGUAAAUCCUUCACCAGCCUCCCCUGGUGUUACCUUCUUGCACAACCACAGUACAAUGAACCAAACUAGAAAACGGACACUGGUGGGAGGCUGUUGAUCGAAGUACAGACUUUUCUCAGAUUUCACCAGUCUUCCCUCUGACGUCCCUUUUCUGUUCCAGGAUCCCAUGAGGAUCCCACAUGACAUUGCUUCGUGGAAUCUCUUUAAUCUCCUCCCGUCUGUGACGGUUUCUCAGCCUGCCUGCUCUGCCAUAACCGUGACACAUUUGAGGAGCACUGAAUGGUUCUUUUGUCCAGGUCCUCAGUCUGGGUCUGUCUGGUGUCUCCUCGUGAUGAGGGGGAGCACAGAGGGGAUGUGCCUCUCAGCGCACCUGUCGGCGGCCCCCGAUUUCCACGUGUCUAUUACCAGCGAUGUAACCUUGCUCACUUGACUAAGGCGAUAUGAGCCAGGAUUCUCCACCAUCAAGUUGCUCCCUUUCCCUUUGUGACUCGUAACUAUUUUGAUGGAGGUACUUUGAGAUUGUGCUGAUGUCCAGUUUCUCCUUAAACUUUCACCACUGAUGUUUGUAUCUGUCGGUGCAGCCUGCCUGCUGUAAUUAUCACUGUGAUUGUAUUGCCGGGGUGAUGUUCCCCUGCUCUCUUCCCGUCUCCAUUUAUUAACUGGAAAUGUUCUGUGAGGACGAGUUGUCUCUUCUCCCCAAUUUAUUUGUUUAUCGGUGGUUUAUUUCUAUUACUAUGGACUCAUGGAUAUUUAUCCUAUACUUUGGCUUAUUAUCCAAUACCAUCGCUGUUUGCUUUGUUCAAGUUCUUCUGCCUUGGCCAUUGAGAGCGCUUUCCUUUGGCUCCCUCAUCUCUGACACGCCCCAUCCUUUUGUUCUUUAAGCACUAACUUGCUUUCUACAGUAUGUUCCAAACUCAUCGUGUAUUUUUCCUCCUGCAGCCACGGAAAUAUGAACCUAAAGCAGGGGCAACCCUAGGGAAGAAAAUAGAUGAAUUGGACUUCAUCACAAUUGAACACUUUUUUGCAUCAAAGGAGACCCACCAAAUACUGGCCCUGAGCUAACAUCCGUGCCCAUCUUCCUCUACUUUAUAUGUGGGACGCCUACCACAGCAUGGAGUGCCAAGUGGUGCCAUGUCCGCACCCGGGAUCCGAACCGGUGAACCCCGGGCCGCCAAGAAGUGGAACAUUCGAACUUAACCGCCACGCCACUGGGCCGACCCUAAAUUAAUAUGUUUUUUAAAAUUCUCAAUAGUGGUAAAAAUCAUGUAACAUAAAAUUUGACGCUGUAACCGUUUUUAAGUGUACAGUUCAGCAGUGUUAACUAUAUUCGUGUCGUUUUGCAGCAAAUCUCCAGGACUUUUUCAUCUUGCAAAACUGAAACUCUGUCCCCACUGAGCAAGAGCUCCCCAUUUCCCCUCCCCCAGCCCCUGGCGCCGCCAUCUACUCUCCAUCUCUAUGAAUUUGACUUCUCUAGGGACCUCAUGAAGUGGAGUCAUACAGUGUUUGUCCUUUUUAACUGGGGUAUUUCACUCAGAAUAGUGUCCUUAAGUUUCAUCCAUGUUGUAGCAUGUGUCACAGUGUCCUUUUUGAAGGCUGAAUAAUAUUCCGUUGCAUGUAUGUGACACAUUUUCUCGUUUUUCAUUUGCCACUACCUAUCAUUUUCUUUUCUUUCCCCAGCUUUAUCAAGGUCUAAUUUACAACAUAAAAAUGAUGUAUAUUUAAGGUUUUGAUAUACGUAUGCAUUGUGAAAUGACCACAAUCAAGCUAAGUAACACAUCAUAGUUAGCAUUUUUUGGUGUGGUGAGAAUACUUAAGAUCUACUCUCUUAGCAAGUUUCAAGCACACAGUACAGUAUUAUUAGCUACAGUCACCAUGCUGUAUGUUACAUCCCUC